Molecule: ribosomal RNA, 33 nt
Filed under: Debaryomyces fabryi
Lineage: Eukaryota; Fungi; Ascomycota; Pichiomycetes; Serinales; Debaryomycetaceae
Description: partial 26S ribosomal RNA
Source: RNAcentral
UCUGCUGAGAUUAAGCUUCAGUUGUCCGAUUUG